UCCGUAGGUGGAUAAUUAAGUCAGAGGUGAAAUCCUGCAGCUCAACUGUAGAAUUGCCUUUGAUACUGGUUAUCUUGAGUCAUUAUGAAGUGGUUAGAAUGUGUAGUGUAGCGGUGAAAUGCAUAGAUAUUACACAGAAUACCGAUUGCGAAGGCAGAUCACUAAUAAUCAACUGACACUGAUGGACGAAAGCGUGGGGAGCGAACAGGAUUAGAUACCCUGGUAGUCC
This 229-nucleotide ribosomal RNA is filed under the name uncultured bacterium. RNAcentral describes it as "partial 16S ribosomal RNA". It matches the Rfam family "Bacterial small subunit ribosomal RNA", at positions 568 to 796 of the family's 1533-position model. The record is from RNAcentral.